RNAcentral lists this ribosomal RNA (251 nucleotides) under uncultured bacterium. RNAcentral's name for it is "partial 16S ribosomal RNA". The record is from RNAcentral.
CUGCUGCCUUCCGUAGGAGUUUGGGCCGUGUCUCAGUCCCAAUGUGGCCGAUCACCCUCUCAGGUCGGCUACUGAUCGUCGCCUUGGUAGGCCUUUACCUCACCAACUAGCUAAUCAGACGCGGGUCCAUCUCAUACCACCGGAGUUUUUCACACCCAAUCAUGCGAUUCUGUGCGCUUAUGCGGUAUUAGCAGUCAUUUCUAACUGUUAUCCCCCUGUAUGAGGCAGGUUACCCACGCGUUACUCACCCG